CCUACGGGAGGCAGCAGUAGGGAAUAUUGCUCAAUGGGGGAAACCCUGAAGCAGCAACGCCGCGUGGAGGAUGAAGGUUUUCGGAUUGUAAACUCCUUUUGUUAGAGAAGAUAAUGAUGGUAUCCAACGAAUAAGCACUGGCCAACACCGUGCCAGCAGCCGUGGCACUACGGAGGGUGCAAGCGUUACUCGGAAUCACUGGGCGUAAAGAGCGCGUAGGCGGGUUAGCAAGUCAGAUGUGAAAUCCUAUGGCUUAACCAUAGAACUGCAUUUGAAACUGUUAGUCUAGAGUAUGGGAGAGGUAGGUGGAAUGCUUGGUGUAGGGGUAAAAUCCGUAGAGAUCGAGAAGAAUACUGAUUGCGAAGGCGACAUGCUGGAACCUAACUGACGCUGAUGCACGAAAGCGUGGGGAGCGAACAGGAUUAGAUACCCGGGUAGUC
Molecule: ribosomal RNA, 440 nt
Filed under: uncultured bacterium
Lineage: Bacteria
Description: partial 16S ribosomal RNA
Rfam family: Bacterial small subunit ribosomal RNA
Source: RNAcentral